ACAUGAAUCCAUGUAAAAACCAUUGUGCAUUGUCACCCCCUCUAGAUUUGAAAUCGGAAACGAAGAAAGCGUUAUUACGGUCACUAUUGUAAUUUGAAGACCCAGCUUUUUUCCAGGAUUCGUCCGCUGAUUUCUACCUAUAUCUAGAGUGUAAUUCAAAUUUACAUAACUUAUUGAUUAACAAUUGAAACCCCUUUUAAACUUUUGAACUAAUGUUUUCAUACUCCAAUAAAACGGAGAUGAAAUUCUUACGAAACAAAGAACAACUCUUAGCAACGGAUAUCUUGGUUCU
Molecule: unclassified non-coding RNA, 292 nt
Filed under: rhizosphere metagenome
Description: partial ribosomal RNA internal transcribed spacer region
Source: RNAcentral